AUGGCGCACAUAACAACCGUCUUGGGGGUGGUGAUGGCGGCCGCAGCGGUGGCGAUGCUGACAUCGGCGCUCCUCGCCGGAGCAGAAAUUUCCCCGGCGGAGGCGCAAGGGGUGCCCAACUGUGACAUCACCUGCGGCAACAUGAGCGUGCCGUACCCGUUCGGCAUGGGCCCGGCCAGGUGCUACUGGCCGGGGUUCAACCUCACCUGCAGCCGCUCAAGCAAACCACCGCGGUUGCUGCUUGGCGAUGGCACCCUCCAAGUCCAAGAGUUCUCCCUCAGGUGGUCAUUUGUGAAGGUCAUACGUACGGGCGAGAUAAAAGUCGAUGGCAACGGUGAAGGCAUGCUCGGCGGCGGUCUUACAACCAACGGGCCCUACACACUUUCAUCCAACCAGCUCAUCCUAGUGGGUUGCAAUGUCCAGGCGACGCUCAAGAACGGCGAGGUGACCAUGGCCAGCUGUUCUUCUGGCUGCAAAAGCGGCGAUGGACUCUCCCAAGCGCUAUCCACUCUUGAAGCAGGCAUGCAAUGCUCUGGCAAUGGCUGCUGUCAGUCGGACAUUGUCUUCGACCCUGCGGAGGUAGCAGGAAGACUUGUCGAUAGUGCGUUCUACAACGUGCAACUCAAAUGGUUCGGCUGGAACCACAGCGCAGACCAGCAGUGGCCCGCACACGUCUUUAUCGCGGGGUCCGGCUGGUUCAGCCGUACAGCGGUCUUCCACGAGCUGUUACGAAAAGCCGCCCCCGCGUCAGUGGAUGCAAUGCAAGUUCCCUUCUGGCUGGACUGGGAGGUUGUUGGCUAUGGCGCAGAAUGCUCCAACAUCUGCAAGAGCAAGCAUAGCGACUGCACAAAGGGUAACAAAGGCUACACGUGCUCCUGCAAAGACGGCUACGAAGGGAAUCCCUACAUCACCAACGGAUGCAAAGAUAUCGACGAGUGUCAUGAAGGGUACGCUAGGUGCUAUGGUGGUGCUUGUACCAAUUUGGAAGGAUCAUAUUAUUGCCGGUGUCCUCCAGGAACCAAUGGCGACCCUACCCUGCCUGGUGAUUGCCUCAGUUCCGUCUCAGGUAAUGGCAGCACGUCCUGCGGUGGCAUAGAUGUGCCAUACCCCUUCGGCAUUGGCUCUGCCGGUUCCUACUGGCCAGGGUUCAACCUCACCUGUGAUACAAGCCAACAACCAGCAAAGCUACUACUCGUCCUCCACGACCUCGUCGAUGGCGUGGCUGACUCCUACCACGUCAAGGAGAUCUCCCUCGAGAACAACACAGUGCAUGUCCUCUCCAGCAAAGCCAUCAUGGAUAUUAUCCACACGAACUUCUCAUUCGGUGUUUUAAACCUUGGCAACUACUCAGAGGCGCCCUACUCACUAUCGACAGGCAACGAGUUCAUCCUAUCGGGCUGCAACCUUCAGGCGACGCUGCUGAUCGGUGAUGGUACCAAGGAUUUGAUCAGCGGUUGUGCCUCUUUCUGCCCCUCCAACGUCAGUGACACCUACGUUGAGACGACUCUGCAGCGUACAGGCAGAUACUGCUACGGCAUGGGCUGCUGCCAGGCACAUAUCUCCAUGUCCUCCAACGGCUUGCCCACAAAGUUGAAGUUCCAAAAUCUCAACAAGGACGGCAACCUGGAGUUGACGUCCCAGCCCGCGUACAUGCUAAUUGCAGAGGAGGGGUGGUUCGACCAGCGACAGUUGUCCAAGGAGAUGGCGGGGCAUGAGGAAUCCAAACUAGCCAAGGUGCAGGUUCCCCAAGUUCUGCAGUGGGAGGUCAUGCAAGACUUACCGCGACCAGCCGACAUGAAGGCGCAUCCAGACUGUCCAGCCGAGGUAGCCCGCAAACUGUGCAAGAGCAAGAACAGCUACUGCAAACGAGGGAGCAGAGGCUAUUUAUGCCAGUGCUUGGAUGGCUAUCACAAGCCCGGCAACAACCCCUACCUUGCCAACGGAUGCAAAGGUGGCCGCAAGCCUUUAUCUACAGGUAUAUACCUCAGCAUAGGAGUUGCUGUUGGGGCAGGCAUCAUACUAUUUGUUCUCGCUGGGUCCUUCACACGUAAGAAAUUCAAACAUCGAAAAGCCAAGAUGUUGAAACGGAAGUUCUUCGAAAAAAACCGUGGACAAUUGUUGCACCAAUUGGUAUCACAAAGAGCUAAUAUUGCAGAAAGAAUGAUUAUAGCCUUAGAUGAGCUUGAGAAGGCAACAAACAAAUUUGAUAAAGCUCGUGAGCUUGGUGGCGGGGGGCAUGGUACAGUCUACAAAGGGAUCCUAUCAGAUCUCCAUGUUGUAGCCAUCAAGAAACCAAAGGCGGCAAUUCAAAAGGAGAUUGAUGAAUUCAUUAAUGAGGUUGCUAUCCUAUCACAGAUCAACCAUAGAAAUGUUGUAAAACUCUAUGGUUGUUGCCUUGAAACCGAGGUCCCCAUGUUGGUCUACGAGUUUAUAUCCAAUGGUACCCUUUAUGAUCAUCUUCAUGUUGAUGGACCAAGAUCAUUGUCAUGGAAUGAUAGGCUACGGAUAGCAACUGAGACUGCCAGAUCUUUAGCUCAUCUUCACUCAACAGCUUCAAUACCCAUCAUCCAUAGAGAUAUCAAGUCUGUUAACAUACUUUUGGAUGAUACUCUAACAGCAAAAGUCGCCGACUUUGGAGCUUCAAGAUAUGUUCCGGUGGAUAGAUCAGGACUCACAACAAGAGUGCAAGGUACAAGAGGAUAUCUAGACCCCAUGUAUUUCUAUACAGGGCGUCUCACGGAAAAAAGUGAUGUGUACAGCUUCGGUGUCCUGCUUCUGGAGUUGUUGACUAGAAAGAAACCAUUUUCAUACAUCUCUUCUGAAGAGGAAGGCCUUGUUACACACUUUUCUACCUUAUUCACACAAGGCAAUUUGUCCGAGAUAAUAGAUCCCCAAGUUAUGGAAGAGGGAAACAGAGAAAUGGAAGAAGUCGCAGCACUUGCAGUAAUGUGUAUAACAUUAAGAGGAGAGGAUCGUCCGUCAAUGAAGCAAGUGGAGAUCAAACUCGAAGGCACUCAAGCAUCCAGGGGACAUGAGGGGGGUAAUGUAAGAAAAUGUCCACCGACUGUUGAUAGAAGUAGGAGCGAAGAAUUAUCCAGGCAGUAUAGUAUGGAAGAAGAGUUCAUGUUAUCUUCAAGGAAUCCUCGGUAA
Molecule: ribosomal RNA, 3150 nt
Filed under: Triticum aestivum (bread wheat)
Lineage: Eukaryota; Viridiplantae; Streptophyta; Magnoliopsida; Poales; Poaceae
Description: partial small subunit ribosomal RNA
Source: RNAcentral